UUUAAAAAUGUAAACAGGUCAGAAAAGAUUAAUGAAAAUUUAAAAAUGCAAAACUUCCUUGCAGAAGGAAGUGGGAAAUACAGCAGAAAAAGGGAGUUCUAGUACAGAAGAAGUAAAAAAAGACUGAGCUGGUCUUUCAGAGCGUGCAUUGUGCUGUCUAUGCCUUCACGAUAUGAAACACAGCGGCCAGAUUUUAGACGUAGACGGGAUUAGCCUCCCAAACAACUUGGUUCCUCUGGGAUUGGCCAGCUGUUAGGAGCCAUGCACCAGAGCAUCGACGUUGGAGUUACCCGGAUCGAUGGGCUGCUGACAAGCCCACACCUGGGAGAGCCUCCGAGGGUUUCUGCCUGCCAGAGGCUGCUGAAUGGGGCUGGCCAGCAACAGGGGUAAAGACUGGUCCAGGAUGUAACUCCUUACAUCUGACACUGCUCAGUGUUUCAGGGCCGACGUUGCCCUGCAGGGCUAAACGUUGCAGCAUCUACCUACAGAGUUAGGAUCUUUGGGAUAGGAAAAACCUUCCUGGGGCACGCUGCCUUAUGCAGGCUGUGCAACCGCGGGCACGUCCUACGCGCCCCGUCCCCGGCGCAGGGGACGCAGCCCCGACCCCUUUGCCGUGCGACGCCGGAGCACGCCCAGCCCAGGACGGCUUCCCUCCCCUCCGCGCCAGCCUCCCCGCAGGAAACUCAACCUCCCUUCGAGUGGCUCCCGAGAUGGGGAGAGCGUCACUGCCUCCUAGCAACCCUCCUAGCAACCGGCCAACAUCUGCUCCCGCUGGACCAAUCCGGGCGGCGAACAUCUGGCCACCCACCUCCGGCUUCUCCUCGGCCAGGGGGGGAUGAGCUCCUCCGGGGCUGGGCGGGCUUUGCUCACGGGAUCUCCCUGAGGAGUUAGCAGGUGUUUGUUUGCACAGAGGAAGUUUUUUGGGGGCUGUUUGCAACCCCGCGGCAUCCUCCGCGGCUUUGCUGCAUCAUGAACGAGGGCGAGUAGCCGAGGGGACGGCUU
RNAcentral lists this long non-coding RNA (1002 nucleotides) under Struthio camelus australis. Its description in RNAcentral is "lncRNA (ENSSCUG00000008250.1)". Lineage: Eukaryota; Metazoa; Chordata; Aves; Struthioniformes; Struthionidae. The record is from RNAcentral.